AAGCGCUACCUCCACCACCUCUGCCAUACCCUCGUCCUUGAGGAGGAGCGCUACGGGGCAGAACGGGAAGCCUGCCGCUCCCGGGCAGAAGAGCUGGGCCAGGGCGUCGUCUUGUUCCAAGGGCUUUCCAACAUCACCUUCAACUGCAUGGUCUUGGGCACCCUGUUUAUUGGGGGCUCCCUUGUGGCUGGACAGCAGCUGACAGGGGGAGACCUCAUGUCCUUCCUGGUGGCCUCCCAGACAGUGCAAAAGUCCACGGCCAACCUCUCCAUCCUGUUUGGCCAGGUGCUCCGGGGGCUGAGCUCAGGCUCCCGGGUCUUUGAGUACAUGGCCCUGAGCCCCUGCAUCCCGCUGUCUGGGGGCUGCUGCAUCCCCAAAGAGCACCUGCAUGGCACCGUCACAUUUCACAACAUUUGCUUCAGCUACCCCUGUCACCCCGGCUUCGAGAUGCUGAAAGACUUCACCCUGAUGCUGCCCCCUGGCAAGAUCAUGGCCCUCGUGGGCCAGUCUGGGGGAGGAAAGACCACCAUGGCUUCCCUGCUGGAGCGCUUCUACGACCCCACGGCAAGCGUGGUGAUGCUGGAUGGGCGGGACCUGCACACCUUUGACCCCUCCUGGCUCCGAGGCCAGGUCAUUGACUUCAUUAGCCAGGAGCUGAUCCUGUUUGGGACAACCAUCAUGGAGAACAUCCACUUUGGGAAGCCAGGAGCUUCUGAUGAAGAGGUGUAUGCAGCUGCCCAGGAGGCCAAUGCCCACGAGUUCAUCACCAGCUUCCCUGAGGGCUACAACACGGUUGUCGGUGAGAGGGGCACUACCCUGUCUGGGGGCCAGAAGCAGCACCUGGCCAUCGCCCGAGCCCUCAUCAAGCAGCCCACAGUGCUUAUCCUGGACGAAGCCACCAGUGUGCUGGUUGCGGAGUCUGAACGGGUUGUGCAGCAGGCCCUGGACCGGGUCAGUGCGGGCCGCACGGUGCUGGUCAUUGCUCACCGGCUCAGCAUCGUCAUCAUGGCCAAUGGCUGCGUCUGGGAGGCUGGGAACCAUGAAGAACUCCUGAAGAAGGGUGGGCUGUAUGCCCCAAAGACGGCAGCCCCACCACCCAAGAAGCCAGAAGGCCCCGGAAGCUCCCUGCGCAAGUCUUGAGAAGAGCCCCUGAGGUGUGGUCGCUGCCAAGUGUCGGUGCUAGGGCUGGGGCUCAGCCUGGGGGGAACACACUGGGGACUGAGCCCCCAGGAGGGCCAGCAUGUGGAGAGUUGCUGUGGCCGCUCCUGCUCGCAAUAAAGCCGGGGCGGGCCGAGUGGCUGGCAGGGGAGGCCCAACCCUCCCUUCCAUCUCAAGUCCUGCCGGCCACCUCCCUCCCACCAGAGUCCACCAGAGUCACUGGGCUGCACACGGGCAGAGGCAGAGUUCCACAAGGUGCCUCCACUCUUCUCUCCCUUUGCCCAGACCCCUCCAGACCUCUCAGAGACGCUCUGCACAGUGUCCCCACCCCACCCAACAGCCUCAAGUUGGCCAGGCCUGCAGCACCAGGGAGUUUUUAAAAAACAGGGUCUGCCAUGGGCUGGGAACUCAAACCUAGGCUCUUCCCACACCCUUGCCAGGACCUUACUUCCCUAGACUGACUGCCUCGCUGGACCCUGGGAGAAGGAGCCUAUCCCCUGGCUCACCCCAGAACACACAAUCCCUGUCUUCCAAACAGUUUCCCUCCCUUCUCCCUGAAUGGGGAACACAGUCCUGAUGUCUAGAUUUCAACUCCCUUUCCCACCCCUGAAGGACACAGGCCUAACCGGGCCCAACUCUUGGGUCAGGGUAGGAGGGAAGAAGCACCAGUCUGCCUGACUGUCUUCUGCUGGCCCUGCCCUGUGUGCCUGGAGUCUUUGACCCACUGAGAUGGUGGAUCCACCUCCUUCUACAUCAAGGACACCCAGCUCUGAUGGAGACAGGAAGGGCUGAUGCCAACCUGGAGCUCUCAGCUUCCUGCCCACAGUGCUGAUGAGUACAGAGCUCAAUGGAGCACCUACUGCAGAAUCCAGUACAGAAUCAGUCCAGGAGAGUAUGGCUGUGGACAGGCAGUCUCCACAGCAAGGUCUGGGAGGCGCACCUUAAAAGGGGAAGGCAGACAGCCUGAGUGACAGGCGUCUGUGGCCCUGAAACUGUGGAUGAGGGCUAGGCUCCAGCUGGCUUCGGAGGGGCCUGGAAAGGCACACAAGUAGGGCCUUAGCUGAGCUGGUGCCCCAGGACCUCAUGCUCCUGCCCUGCUGCAGAUGCACCGGCCCUCCCCACCUCCUCACUGCCGUCACUUCCUGCUGGGAUCCUUCCCCGGUCCAGACACAUCAAGGCUGUGGGACUAUAUGGGGCCCAGCUCCCCUGAGCAGGGGAAGAGGGGGUGCCUGCCCUGUACCUUCACAGUCAGCCAGGCAUUCUGGAUUUAUCUGUGCAAAGAAGGGCAGUCAGUGCCCUCUUUCAGGGGUGGUGGCAGUUCACUGAUGGAGCAGCUGGUGCUGGGGAGGCCAGCCUGGAAGAGGCAGCAAGUGGCUCAAGUUUGUGUGCAGGAGCCAGAGUGGGACCCACAGGCUCUUGUGGGUAUGGUUUAGAACUAGAUGCUACUCUGGGGACAAGCCAUCCAAAAACCCCAGGCCCACAUCCACCCUGAUUUGAUAUCCCACUUCCUGACAGAUCAGAGGCUAGAGGCCCAGAAGCAGAGCCUGGGGCUGGCUCCCGGCUGCCUCGCAGCUAAACCCCUCCCUAGGGCAGCCCAGAGCAGGCCUCAGCUUCCUGGCGAGUCCAUGAGCCCUGCCUGGGGUCCCUGCUUGUUGGCCUGACCCCUCCCUCACCAGGAAGCCAGCCAGCCAAGGCCUGCUUCACCUCCUCAGUCACCAGCCUCAAGCUGCCCAAGACGCCUCUGACACCAGAUUCUAAGGCUCUCCUUACAUCUGGGCAACUUCUCCAAAUCCAGCCCUCCACCAGCCCACUAAAGGAGCAGUUAAGCCCCACGGC
RNA transcript from Sapajus apella (tufted capuchin), 2994 nucleotides. It is a transcript of the gene named mitochondrial potassium channel ATP-binding subunit pseudogene, with no coding region annotated. The record is from RefSeq and is a predicted model, not a curated record. Lineage: Eukaryota; Metazoa; Chordata; Mammalia; Primates; Cebidae. The transcript has a single exon.